CUCAUACUAUGAAAAAUUACACUAAUGACUGCUGUGCUGUGCUGCGCUGCGCUGCCUGGUCAUUCAGCAACACUACUUUUCGCUUCUUUGCCACCCUCAUCAACCACUCGAGUAGUUUUUCACAACUUGCAUGUUUCAGAGACUGAACGGUAAUUGAAUGAGUUGGAUAUUUAAUUUAAACUAAUCAGAGCCCAAACUAGACGUCAGUGCUAACACCAGCAACAUAUUUUCAGUCGCUUUUGUAAUCCAGAAAAUUGAAUACAAUAUAAUGUUGAUCACCUUACUACUAAUAAGAAGUGCUUCAAAAUUAAUUGGAUAUGGCGCAGCCACCUGUUAAAAUCACACGUAGGAGCAUAGGCCACCCA
RNAcentral lists this unclassified non-coding RNA (365 nucleotides) under Hevea brasiliensis (rubber tree). The record is from RNAcentral. Lineage: Eukaryota; Viridiplantae; Streptophyta; Magnoliopsida; Malpighiales; Euphorbiaceae.